This 229-nucleotide ribosomal RNA is filed under the name uncultured bacterium. RNAcentral's name for it is "partial 16S ribosomal RNA". It matches the Rfam family "Bacterial small subunit ribosomal RNA", at positions 568 to 796 of the family's 1533-position model. The record is from RNAcentral.
UGCGUAGGCGGAAGAAUAAGUCAGUGGUGAAACCCUGCAGCUUAACUGUAGACUUGCCAUUGAUACUGUUUUUCUUGAGUAUGGUCAAGGCAGGCGGAAUGUGUAAUGUAGCGGUGAAAUGCUUAGAUAUUACACAGAACACCGAUAGCGAAGGCAGCUUGCUGGGCCGUUACUGACGCUGAUGCACGAAAGCGUGGGGAUCGAACAGGAUUAGAUACCCUGGUAGUCC